GAUGAACGCUGACAGAAUGCUUAACACAUGCAAGUCUACUUGAUUCUACUUCGGUAGUUGAUGGUGGCGGACGGGUGAGUAACGCGUAAAGAAUCUGCCCUUUAGUUCGGGAUAACCUUUGGAAACGAAGGAUAAUACCGGAUAUUAUGGAGACGUCGCAUGACGAUUUCAUGAAAGCUAUAUGCGCUAGAGGAGGACUUUGCGUCCCAUUAGUUAGUUGGUGAGGUAAUGGCUCACCAAGACCGCGAUGGGUAGCCGGCCUGAGAGGGUGAUCGGCCACAAGGGAACUGAGACACGGUCCUUACUCCUACGGGAGGCAGCAGUGGGGAAUAUUGGACAAUGGGCCACAAGCCUGAUCCAGCAAUUCUGUGUGCACGAUGAAGGUCUUCGGAUUGUAAAGUGCUUUCAGUAGGGAAGAAAAAAAUGACGGUACCUACAGAAGAAGCGACGGCUAAAUAUGUGCCAGCCGCCGCAGUAA
Molecule: ribosomal RNA, 478 nt
Filed under: uncultured bacterium
Lineage: Bacteria
Description: partial 16S ribosomal RNA
Rfam family: Bacterial small subunit ribosomal RNA
Source: RNAcentral